AACGAACGCUGGCGGCAUGCUUUACACAUGCAAGUCGAACGGUAACAGGCCGCAAGGUGCUGACGAGUGGCGAACGGGUGAGUAAUGCAUCGGAACGUGCCCAGUCGUGGGGGAUAACGCAGCGAAAGCUGCGCUAAUACCGCAUACGAUCUAUGGAUGAAAGCGGGGGACCGUAAGGCCUCGCGCGAUUGGAGCGGCCGAUAUCAGAUUAGCUUGUUGGUGGGGUAAAAGCCCCACCAAGGCGACGAUCUGUAGCUGGUCUGAGAGGACGACCAGCCACACUGGGACUGAGACACGGCCCAGACUCCUACGGGAGGCAGCAGUGGGGAAUUUUGGACAAUGGGCGCAAGCCUGAUCCAGCCAUGCCGCGUGUGGGAAGAA
RNAcentral lists this ribosomal RNA (381 nucleotides) under uncultured bacterium. Its description in RNAcentral is "bacterial SSU rRNA". It matches the Rfam family "Bacterial small subunit ribosomal RNA", at positions 29 to 412 of the family's 1533-position model. The record is from RNAcentral.